CGAAGGACUAGAAUGAGCUCACA
This 23-nucleotide non-coding RNA is filed under the name Cricetulus griseus (Chinese hamster). Lineage: Eukaryota; Metazoa; Chordata; Mammalia; Rodentia; Cricetidae. The record is from RNAcentral.